This is a long non-coding RNA of Mytilus trossulus (common blue mussel), 376 nucleotides long. RefSeq lists it as uncharacterized. NCBI's taxonomy places the organism in Eukaryota, Metazoa, Mollusca, Bivalvia, Mytilida, Mytilidae. The transcript is spliced from 3 exons. The record is from RefSeq and is a predicted model, not a curated record.
GAUCAACAUACUAUCCAAACUAAGAGGAGGGGUGGACUUGGCGUCCGUGGUCAGAGGCCAAAUGAGGUCCGUUUUUACAAAUGGACUUAUGUCCAAGUAGAGUUUGACUGGUCAAAAGGGAAAACUGUGCUUUUUGGAAACAAGUUCAUACAAAACUAUAUUAAGAUCAAUAAGAAGAGCAACAAAUGAUCGAUUUAAGAUAAAAGACCUGGAAUAUGAAGUAGCAGAAGUAUUGAGAAAUGCUCCAAACCAUCCUGGAGGAGCAAAUUAUGUGAAGAAGAAUGUAGCUGGCAAAAGGAAAAGAGGAAUGGUUGAGGAGGAAAAAGAAAACUGAUUAUCAUGCAAUGAAAUAAAUCAAUAUCUUCCCUUAAUUAUU